GUGCUCGCUUCGGCAGCACGUAUACUAAAAUUGGAACGAUACGGAGAAGAUUAGCAUGGCCCCUGUGCAAAUUCGUGAAGCGUUCCAUAAAAAAAAAGAGCAAAAAAAA
Small nuclear RNA from Rhinolophus ferrumequinum (greater horseshoe bat), 109 nucleotides. NCBI's taxonomy places the organism in Eukaryota, Metazoa, Chordata, Mammalia, Chiroptera, Rhinolophidae. The record is from Ensembl.